Molecule: ribosomal RNA, 491 nt
Filed under: uncultured bacterium
Lineage: Bacteria
Description: partial 16S ribosomal RNA
Rfam family: Bacterial small subunit ribosomal RNA
Source: RNAcentral
GAUGAACGCUAGCGAUAGGCUUAACACAUGCAAGUCGAGGGGUAACGUGUUGGAAGCUUGCUUCCGAUGACGACGACCGGCGGAUGGGUGCGUAACGCGUAUGCAACUUGCCUCACAGUGGAGAAUAACCCGGAGAAAUCCGGACUAAUACUCCAUACACUCUUAAGUACGCCUGUACAUGAGAGGAAAGAUUUAUCGCUGUGAGAUAGGCAUGCGUCCUAUUAGGUAGUUGGUGAGGUAACGGCUCACCAAGCCGACGAUAGGUAGGGGUGCUGAGAGGGAGAUCCCCCACAUUGGGACUGAGACACGGCCCAAACUCCUACGGGAGGCAGCAGUGAGGAAUAUUGGUCAAUGGAGGAAACUCUGAACCAGCCAAGUCGCGUGAAGGAAGAAUGUCCUAAGGAUUGUAAACUUCUUUAGCGAGCGAGUAAGGACUUCCACGUGAUGGGAGUUUGAAAGUAGCUCGAGAAUAAGUAUCGGCUAACUCCGUG